CUGCGGUUGGGGCAGGUCCCCGGCCCCGGCUCCCUCCCGCGCCGCCUCAGGCAUUGGGCGCGAGAUCGGUGCCGGCGCCACGGC
This 84-nucleotide transfer RNA is filed under the name Streptomyces sp. TS71-3. RNAcentral's name for it is "tRNA-Gly". Lineage: Bacteria; Bacillati; Actinomycetota; Actinomycetes; Kitasatosporales; Streptomycetaceae. The record is from RNAcentral.